RNAcentral lists this transfer RNA (76 nucleotides) under Bacillota bacterium. Its description in RNAcentral is "tRNA-Ala". It matches the Rfam family "tRNA". From Rfam's summary of the family: Transfer RNA (tRNA) molecules are approximately 80 nucleotides in length. Their secondary structure includes four short double-helical elements and three loops (D, anti-codon, and T loops). Further hydrogen bonds mediate the characteristic L-shaped molecular structure. tRNAs have two regions of fundamental functional importance: the anti-codon, which is responsible for specific mRNA codon recognition, and the 3' end, to which the tRNAs corresponding amino acid is attached (by aminoacyl-tRNA synthetases). tRNAs cope with the degeneracy of the genetic code in two manners: having more than one tRNA (with a specific anti-codon) for a particular amino acid; and 'wobble' base-pairing, i.e. permitting non-standard base-pairing at the 3rd anti-codon position. RNAcentral also lists the same sequence under 4 other names. The record is from RNAcentral. Lineage: Bacteria; Bacillati; Bacillota.
GGGCCCGUAGCUCAGAUGGGAGAGCGCUAGACUCGCAUUCUAGAGGUCAGGGGUUCGAUCCCCCUCGGGUCCACCA